Molecule: RNA transcript, 2326 nt
Organism: Myotis myotis
Lineage: Eukaryota; Metazoa; Chordata; Mammalia; Chiroptera; Vespertilionidae
Gene: CLEC2L
Gene name: C-type lectin domain family 2 member L
Exons: 6
Source: RefSeq, a predicted model, not a curated record
CGGUGCGCGGAGGCUGCGGCGCGCAGGGCAGGCGAGUGCCGGGCAGCGGCCACCGGGCGCAGCGGGCCGCGGGGAGCCGGCCGAGCCCCUGCCUGCGAGCCGCGGCCUCGCCCGCCGAGGUCGGCCUGGGGGGCCCGCAGGGCACGCGGAGCGCCGAGUGCGCGUGGGGCUGGGCCCCGCACCCGGGCGCAGGAGCGCGGGCGCGGCGGGGCGGAGCGCCGGGCAUGGAGCCGGCCCGAGAGCCCCCCGCGCGGGCCCGGCCGCCGCCGCCCCCCGCCGCCCGCCCCGCGCCCGCCCCCACCGCGCCCAGGCCGCGCUCGCCGGCGGAGGCGGAGGCCCGCGGCCCCGAGGGGCUGCUGCGGCGAUCGGGCUCCGGCUACGAGGGCAGCACCAGCUGGAAGGCGGCCUUGGAGGACACCACCACCCGCCUCCUGCUCGGAGCCAUUGCCGUCCUCCUGUUCGCCAUCCUGGUGGUGAUGAGCAUCUUGGGUGAGCAUGGAUGUCGGGGCAUUUAUGCGGUUCAGUGUACCACCUCCUCAGAAGCGUGUCUAACUUCCAAGGGCUGCAUCAAGUGUGAGGCGCCCUGCCCGGAGGACUGGCUGCUCUACGGCAGGAAGUGCUACUUCUUCUCCGAGGAGCCGAGGGACUGGAACACCGGCCGGCAGUACUGCCACACCCACGAGGCCGCGCUGGCCGUGAUUCAGAGCCCCAAGGAGCUGGAAUUUAUGUUCAAGUUCACGCGGAGGGAGCCCUGGAUUGGCCUUCGCAGAGUCGGGGACGAGUUCCACUGGGUCAACGGGGAGCCCUUUGACCCCGACACAUUCGCCAUCGCGGGCCUGGGGGAGUGCGUCUUCGUGGAGCCCACCAGGCUGGUGUCGACGGAGUGUCUGAUGACGCGGCCCUGGGUGUGCAGCAAGAUGGCCUACACGUGAGGUGGGUCAGGCCAGGCCCACCCGCCCCAGGCUCCGCCCAGGACCCUCUCCCAGGCCCAUGAGCCCUGGUCUCCUUGGCCCCAGGCCGGUCCUGUGGCUCAGCAGGGCCCAGCGCCAGCCUCCCUGCCAGGCCUCCGGGACGCAGCAGCCCCGAGGGACCACGCCCUCUCCCCGGCACCCCCAGCUCUUCACACGGAGCCUUCACACGGCGCCUGUCACCUUGCCCUCCGUGACGUCUCCUCAUGACCUGACCCUCCUGCACCUGAUUAUAAAGCCCGGGAGCAGGCUUUGUGUGCCCUGGCCUCUGGGAUGUACAAACGCGCACUCGAAGAUGACUGUCCGUGACAGUGUACACAGCAUCACCAACCGAUUCCCACGGUGGGAGAGCGCGGGCCCAGCGUCAGAAGACACGUAUUUGGCCUUGGUGGGCAUGGCAUGGCAUGGUUUUUGGAGGCCCAGCAGAGACGGACUCUUGACCUUGUUCUGCUUCAAUCAGACCAGCUCAUGCACACGCUGGGUGGGCGGGGUGGGGGUGGCCUGGAAGCACAGGGGCACGGAGGGAGGGCUGCCUCAGUCUCCAAAAUGUCCUUUGCCUCAUUCACGCAGCCUCAUGAGGAGCCCGCUGUGAGGGGGACCAGGUUUGGGGAGUUUCCAUCAGGGAGGGGCUGGCUGCUGAAGGUCCCUGUGACCCCUGGGAUAGAGCCCUAAUUAACAUCACAGCUGAGACCUGGUUUCUAGAAAUGGCCACUGCCCGCUGAGAGCUGACAGCAGUGGGAGGGGAGGAGGGGAAGGAGGCAGCUGCCUCUCUCCCCUUCCUGCUCUGUAGCCAGCUCCAGGCUCGGAGUAUGAGAUUGAAACGGGCAUCCAGGAAGCCCCCUGCCACCCCCACCUGAGAUCCCACCUCUCUGCUAAGGCAGCAGGGAGUGGACACACACUGGGCCUGGCUCCCAAGCCCUGCCCUGGGCCAGUCAGGGGCCAGCUCAUCCCAACAAGCAGUUGUGGAGUUCAGCCCACUGUGCCGAACCUCUCUGACCCCAGGCUUCACCUCUGUCAACUAGAAUCAUGCCUGCCCUGCCUACCUAAUAGGGUUUUGAGAAUCAUGGACGUUAGGAUUUCAGGGGUUAGACAUGAUCGACCCCAUGAGGCCCAGAGAGGUUAAGUGACACGUCCAAGGUCACACAGCUAGUGGCAGAGCUGGACCAGGCCAUGUGGCGCUCCUGUUCCCUGUUUAUUCUCUCAUCACUGCAUGUGUCAUGCUUUGUGUAUUUGUGUACUUGUUGGCCACCCGCGUGGAAAUUAAGCUCCUAGAGGUCAGGGGUCCCCUCGCACACUUUUCUGUUUUUCUGGCGCCUGGUACAUACAGAAGGUGCUCAAUAAAUGUGUGUUGAACUAAA